UACGGGGGGAGCAAGCGUUGUUCGGAUUUACUGGGCGUAAAGGGCGCGUAGGCGGCCACCGCAAGUCGGCUGUGAAAUCUCUGGGCUUAACCCAGAAAGGUCAACCGAUACUGCGGGGCUAGAGUGCAGAAGGGGCAACUGGAAUUCUCGGUGUAGCGGUGAAAUGCGUAGAUAUCGAGAGGAACACCUGCGGCGAAGGCGGGUUGCUGGGCUGACACUGACGCUGAAGCGCGAAAGCUAGGGGAGCGAACGGG
RNAcentral lists this ribosomal RNA (254 nucleotides) under uncultured bacterium. Its description in RNAcentral is "partial 16S ribosomal RNA". It matches the Rfam family "Bacterial small subunit ribosomal RNA", at positions 524 to 776 of the family's 1533-position model. The record is from RNAcentral.